Crotalus tigris (Tiger rattlesnake) is the source of this 320-nucleotide long non-coding RNA. RefSeq lists it as uncharacterized. The transcript is spliced from 2 exons. The record is from RefSeq and is a predicted model, not a curated record. Lineage: Eukaryota; Metazoa; Chordata; Lepidosauria; Squamata; Viperidae.
GACGAGUCAAAGAGCAGAAUUCAACCUGGUGGGUCAUUUUAGCUGCCUCCCCCCCCUUUCUAGCGAUAACAAAGUUGCUGGUCAGCAGCGCAAUCCAGGUUGGGUCUCUCCUUGAUGUCAGGGAACGUCCCAUCCUGGAUCUCCUGGGGAGAAUGGCCUCCAAACUUCAGAUGUGGCGAGAAAUUUCUGCCAGCCUUACGAAGAGAGGGAGGUGGAGUGAAGUAUCCUGCUUCUACUCUACCUCUUGAAAAGCUGACUUCAGAUACAAAUGACUACACUCCUUAAAUCAUCCUUGUUUCUCUGAGCUGAUAUAAAAAUGU